CUACGAGGGGUGCAAGCGUUAAUCGGAAUUACUGGGCGUAAAGCGUUCGUAGGUGGUUUGUUAAGCAAGAUGUGAAAGCCCUGGGCUCAACCUGGGAACUGCAUUUUGAACUGGCAAGCUAGAAUACUGUAGAGGGUGGUGGAAUUUCCAGUGUAGCGGUGAAAUGCGUAGAGAUUGGAAGGAACAUCAGUGGCGAAGGCGGCCACCUGGACAGAUAUUGACGCUGAGGAACGAAAGCGUGGGGAGCGAACAGGAUUAGAAACCCGAGUAGUCC
Molecule: ribosomal RNA, 274 nt
Filed under: uncultured bacterium
Lineage: Bacteria
Description: partial 16S ribosomal RNA
Rfam family: Bacterial small subunit ribosomal RNA
Source: RNAcentral